UCCAGACUCCUACGGGAGGCAGCAGUAGGGAAUUUUGCGCAAUGGGGGAAACCCUGACGCAGCAACACCGCGUGAAUGUUAAGCCCUUCGGGGUGUAAAGUUCUGUCAAUAGGGACGAAUUUUGACUGUACCUAUAAAGGAAGCACCGGCUAACUCCGUGCCAGCAGCCGCGGUAAUACGGAGGAUCCGAGCGUUAUCCGGAUUCAUUGGGUUUAAAGGGUGCGUAGGUUGUUUUAUAAGUUAGCGGUGAAAUACCGGUGCUCAACAUCGGGGCUGCCGCUAAUACUGUAGGACUAGAGAUCGGAUGCAGCAGGCGGAAUGUGUAGUGUAGCGGUGAAAUGCAUAGAUAUUACACAGAACACCGAUUGCGAAGGCAGCUUGCUAGGCCGGAUCUGACACUGAUGCACGAAAGCGUGGGGAUCGAGCAGGAUUAGAUACCCGUGUA
Molecule: ribosomal RNA, 445 nt
Filed under: uncultured bacterium
Lineage: Bacteria
Description: partial 16S ribosomal RNA
Rfam family: Bacterial small subunit ribosomal RNA
Source: RNAcentral